RNAcentral lists this ribosomal RNA (424 nucleotides) under Anomaloglossus leopardus group sp. ABGD cluster 2. RNAcentral describes it as "partial large subunit ribosomal RNA". It matches the Rfam family "Bacterial large subunit ribosomal RNA", at positions 1816 to 2461 of the family's 2925-position model. The record is from RNAcentral. Lineage: Eukaryota; Metazoa; Chordata; Amphibia; Anura; Aromobatidae.
GCCUCUUGAUUAAACCAUAAGAGGUCCAGCCUGCCCAGUGACAUUGUUCAACGGCCGCGGUAUCCUAACCGUGCGAAGGUAGCGUAAUCACUUGUCCUUUAAAUGAAGACCAGUAUGAAUGGCCCCACGAAAGCUUUACUGUCUCCUUUUUCUAAUCAGUUAAACUAAUCUCCCCGUGAAGAAGCGGGGAUAAACAUAUAAGACGAGAAGACCCUAUGGAGCUUCAAACAACUGAAACACUUGUAUAUCCUCCCUCCACCUGCCCACAUUUAACCCCACAUUUUGUUUCUAGUUUUAGGUUGGGGUGACCACGGAGAAAAAACUAACCUCCACGACGAAAGAAACAUUUCUAAACAAAAAGCUACAUCUUUAUGUAUUAACACAUUAACCUCUAUUGACCCAAUAAAUUGAUCAACGAACCAAG